CUUAUACUCCCUCCGUCCGGAAAUACUUGUCAUCAAAAUGAAUAAAAAGAUAUGUAUCUAGAUGUAUUUUCGUUUUAGAUAUAUCCCCUUUUGUCCAUUUUCAUGACAAGUAAUUUUGGACGGAGGGAGUACGUG
Non-coding RNA from Triticum aestivum (bread wheat), 135 nucleotides. The record is from Rfam. NCBI's taxonomy places the organism in Eukaryota, Viridiplantae, Streptophyta, Magnoliopsida, Poales, Poaceae.